GGCUCAGAUUGAACGCUGGCGGCAUGCCUUACACAUGCAAGUCGAACGGUAACAGGUCUUCGGAUGCUGACGAGUGGCGAACGGGUGAGUAAUACAUCGGAACGUGCCCAGUAAUGGGGGAUAGCUCGGCGAAAGCCGGAUUAAUACCGCAUACGCCCUGAGGGGGAAAGUGGGGGAUCGCAAGACCUCACGUUAUUGGAGCGGCCGAUGGCUGAUUAGCUAGUUGGUAGGGUAAAGGCCUACCAAGGCGACGAUCAGUAGCUGGUCUGAGAGGACGAUCAGCCACACUGGGACUGAGACACGGCCCAGACUCCUACGGGAGGCAGCAGUGGGGAAUUUUGGACAAUGGGGGAAACCCUGAUCCAGCAAUGCCGCGUGUGCGAAGAAAGCCUUCGGGUUGUAAAGCACUUUUGUCAGGGAAGAAAUCCUUUGGGCUAAUACCCUAGGGGGAUGACGGUACCUGAAGAAUAAGCACCGGCUAACUACGUGCCAGCAGCCGCGGUAAUACGUAGGGUGCAAGCGUUAAUCGGAAUUACUGGGCGUAAAGCGUGCGCAGGCGGUUGUGUAAGACAGGUGUGAAAUCCCCGGGCUUAACCUGGGAAUUGCAUUUGUGACUGCACGACUAGAGUGUGUCAGAGGGGGGUGGAAUUCCACGUGUAGCAGUGAAAUGCGUAGAUAUGUGGAGGAACACCAAUGGCGAAGGCAGCCCCCUGGGAUAACACUGACGCUCAUGCACGAAAGCGUGGGGAGCAAACAGGAUUAGAUACCCUGGUAGUCCACGCCCUAAACGAUGUCAACUAGUUGUUGGGGAUUUACUUCCUUGGUAACGUAGCUAACGCGUGAAGUUGACCGCCUGGGGAGUACGGCCGCAAGGUUAAAACUCAAAGGAAUUGACGGGGACCCGCACAAGCGGUGGAUGAUGUGGAUUAAUUCGAUGCAACGCGAAAAACCUUACCUACCCUUGACAUGGCAGAAACUUUCCAGAGAUGGAUUGGUGCUCGAAAGAGAACCUGCACACAGGUGCUGCAUGGCUGUCGUCAGCUCGUGUCGCGAGAUGUUGGGUUAAGUCCCGCAACGAGCGCAACCCUUGUCAUUAGUUGCUACGAAAGGGCACUCUAAUGAGACUGCCGGUGACAAACCGGAGGAAGGUGGGGAUGACGUCAAGUCCUCAUGGCCCUUAUGGGUAGGGCUUCACACGUCAUACAAUGGUCGGUACAGAGGGUUGCCAAGCCGCGAGGUGGAGCCAAUCCCAGAAAACCGAUCGUAGUCCGGAUCGCAGUCUGCAACUCGACUGCGUGAAGUCGGAAUCGCUAGUAAUCGCGGAUCAGAAUGCCGCGGUGAAUACGUUCCCGGGUCUUGUACACACCGCCCGUCACACCAUGGAAGUGGGUUCUACCAGAAGUGGCUAGUCUAACCGCAAGGAGGACGGUCACCACGGUAGGAUU
RNAcentral lists this ribosomal RNA (1445 nucleotides) under uncultured organism. RNAcentral's name for it is "16S ribosomal RNA". It matches the Rfam family "Bacterial small subunit ribosomal RNA". The record is from RNAcentral.